RNAcentral lists this long non-coding RNA (1894 nucleotides) under Salmo salar (Atlantic salmon). RNAcentral describes it as "lncRNA (ENSSSAG00000105407.1)". The record is from RNAcentral. Lineage: Eukaryota; Metazoa; Chordata; Actinopteri; Salmoniformes; Salmonidae.
CACAACCAGACCUUCUGGCCGGCAGCCCUGUGGCUAUCAACACUUCUGUCUUGCCAUAAAAUGCUUACACAAUUUCAAAAACUGCAUAUCUAAGGCUCUGGUCUGUCCAAUAAGUGGGGGUAAAUGGUAAACAUGCUCUCUGCUAUCCACGUUAUAUUUUUUAUUUUGGGUAUAGGGGAGGGUCACCUUUUUUAAGCGUCAGGGAGGGUUUAGGUAAAAUAUGUUUUGCUGAAAGGGGAGGACCAUCCAUUUUCAUUUCAGAGAGGUCCGAUUUUCAGAGAGGUGUCUUCUUAUAAAUAACGUUCACAACCCUUACUAUGCUCGUUACCAAUGAGUAGAUGGGAUGGGGCAGGACAUGCAGUGCGUCAAGCAUCUCAAAUAAAACCAAAAAACUGUCUACACAGACGCCCGGACUACGGAGAUGCCGGUUGAUGAGCGGGAGCAGCUUGGAUGAAAUGAUUGAAUAACACUUAUGUGUACAUUUAUUUCGUUGCGCUCGCACACGCAACCUGGGCGGUCUAGUCACGGAGUCAAGCGCUUCAUGGUGGAUUCAUUAGAGGAGUUUCUCUAGUUUCAAGAAACUUUAUUCUAAUAUGUACAUGUACUAGGCUAUAGAUACAGUAUGUUUACGAUUGUAGCCUAAAAUACGCUGAUUUCAAGAUAAUAGUGUGGAACACACACACUUGGAAAGACUAACGCAGUGAGAAAGGAGCCACGCACUCAGGGUUAGGAUUUACUGGAACCAGGACAUAUCCAUCCUUUUAGUGACGUAGUUCAUCCGGAUUGUGGGAAUCCCAUUGAACUGACCAGGGGCUGCAGUGGAGCAGGUUGAGAGCUUCAAGUUCCUUGAUGUCCACAUCACCAACAAACCAACAUGGUCCAAAGACACCAUGACAGUCGUGAAGCAGGCACGACAAAACCUAUUCCUCCUCAGGAGACUGAAAAGAUUUGGCAUGGGUCCUCAGAUCCUUACAAGGUUCAACAGCUGCACCAUCGAGGGCAUCCUGACUGGUUGCAUCACUGCCUGGUAUAACUGCUCGGCCUUCGACCGUAAGGCACUACAGAGGGUUGUGCGAACGGCCCAGUACAUCCAGGACCUCUAUACCAGGCUGUGUCAGAGGAAGGCCGGGAAAAUUGUCAAAGACUCCAGCCACCCUAGUCAUAGAUUGUUCUCUCUGCUACCACAAAUGCAAGCGGUACCGGAGCGCCAAGUCUAGGUCCAAGAGGCUUCUAAACAGCUUCUACCUCCAAGCCAUAAGACUCCUGAACAUCUAGUCAAAUGGCUACCCAGACUAUUUACAUAUCCCCCCUCCACACCACUGCCACUCUGUGUUGUCAUCUAUGCAUUGUCACUUUAAUUAACUCUACCUACAUGUACAUACUUCCUCAACUAACCGGUGCCCCGGCACAUCCACUCUGUACCGGCACCCCCCUGUAUAUAUUGUUCUUUUCUACUGCUGCUCUUUAAUUACUUGUUACUUGUUACUUUUCUCUUAUUCUUUUCCGUAUUUUUUUUUAAACUGCACUGUCGGUUAGGGGCUCGUAAGUAAGCAUUUCACUGUAAGGUUGUAUUUGGCGCAUGUGACUAAUAAAACUUUAUUGGAUAAGAGUGUGCCAAAUAUGUGACCAUUGCUGUACAUUCAUACCCCAGGGUGAGGGUAACUUUACUAUUGUAGUGGAACAUCUGAAAUAGUUCAGUGGUGAUUGGAAUCUGUUUGGAUGCGUUCAGUAAUUAUCUGGUGUUAUGGGAGCUACAAUAUAUAUAAAUUGGUUGAUUUAUGGCUUAGUUAUUAUUAUUUUUUCAUUAAUGCUGAUUAUAACUUGUGGUAAGAAAUUGUGCAGCAAAGCCGUUGAGACUAUUCUUGCCAUGCCAUUACUGACCCCUGAAGGAGCC